CCUACGGGUGGCAGCAGUGAGGAAUAUUGGUCAAUGGGCUUACGCCUGAACCAGCCAAGUCGCGUGAGGGAAGACUGCCCUAUGGGUUGUAAACCUCUUUUGUCAGGGAGCAAUUUGCGCUACGUGUAGCGUUAUCGAGAGUACCUGAAGAAAAAGCAUCGGUUAACUCCGUGCCAGCAGCCGCGGUAAUACGGAGGAUGGGAGCGUUAUCCGGAUUGAUUGGGUUUAAGGGUAGCUUAGGCCGCAUGUCAAGCGUGCUGUGAAAUGUCCGGGCUGAACCCGGGCCGUGCAGGGCGAACUGGCGUGCUUGAGUCGGCGGAAAGCAGGCGGAAUGCGCAGUGUAGCGGUGAAAUGCUUAGAUAUGACGAAGAACCCCGAUUGCGAAGGCAGCUUGCUGCAGCGGAACUGACGCUGAUGCUCGAAAGCGCGGGUAUCGAACAGGAUUAGAUACCCGGGUAGUC
Molecule: ribosomal RNA, 461 nt
Filed under: uncultured bacterium
Lineage: Bacteria
Description: partial 16S ribosomal RNA
Rfam family: Bacterial small subunit ribosomal RNA
Source: RNAcentral